GAUGAACGCUGGCGGCGUGCCUAAUACAUGCAAGUCGAGCGAACGGACGAGAAGCUUGCUUCUCUGAUGUUAGCGGCGGACGGGUGAGUAACACGUGGAUAACCUACCUAUAAGACUGGGAUAACUUCGGGAAACCGGAGCUAAUACCGGAUAAUAUUUUGAACCGCAUGGUUCAAAAGUGAAAGACGGUCUUGCUGUCACUUAUAGAUGGAUCCGCGCUGCAUUAGCUAGUUGGUAAGGUAACGGCUUACCAAGGCAACGAUGAAUAGCCGACCUGAGAGGGUGAUCGGCCACACUGGAACUGAGACACGGUCCAGACUCCUACGGGAGGCAGCAGUAGGGAAUCUUCCGCAAAGGGCGAAAGCCUGACGGAGCAACGCCGCGUGAGUGAUGAAGGUCUUCGGAUCGUAAAACUCUGUUAUUAGGGAAGAACAUAUGUGUAAGUAACUGUGCACAUCUUGACGGUACCUAAUCAGAAAGCCACGGCUAACUACGUG
RNAcentral lists this ribosomal RNA (497 nucleotides) under uncultured bacterium. Its description in RNAcentral is "partial 16S ribosomal RNA". It matches the Rfam family "Bacterial small subunit ribosomal RNA", at positions 28 to 507 of the family's 1533-position model. The record is from RNAcentral.